UUUGAGUCUUUAAAAUUAUAAUUUUAUUUCAAAUAAAUACUAAAUUACACGUCACUCACAUGAAUAUCAACAGAUGUUAAAUCUUUAACUUGCCGUUAAUGGAUCCCACCAAAAACGAUCUUUCCCUUUUCCUUCUCUCUCUUCCCGUUAGUCUGUCGCCUGUCGUCUCUGGCCAUUUUUCUUUCUCGCUUGCAAGGCAUUGAAACUUCAAUCUUCUCUCCAAUCUCUCACCCUGCAGUUCACUAAACCCAGGGCUUCCAUCAACGACUCAUAAGCAGAACUCUAAGGAAAUCUGAGUUUGCCUUAUUUGAACCAGGAACUUGUGUUGCAUGGAAGAUUAAACCGGCUUGUUAGGUCAUGUAAUUGACCAUCUCAACAUCGUUGAGAAGAAAAAAUUGAAAGGACCAAGCCCGCUCAAAUGAAUUGAAGAUGCUCGAGAUUGGUCUUACAAUGAAAAAA
Molecule: unclassified non-coding RNA, 459 nt
Filed under: Hevea brasiliensis (rubber tree)
Lineage: Eukaryota; Viridiplantae; Streptophyta; Magnoliopsida; Malpighiales; Euphorbiaceae
Source: RNAcentral